Molecule: ribosomal RNA, 1171 nt
Filed under: Escherichia coli
Lineage: Bacteria; Pseudomonadati; Pseudomonadota; Gammaproteobacteria; Enterobacterales; Enterobacteriaceae
Description: partial 23S ribosomal RNA
Rfam family: Bacterial large subunit ribosomal RNA
Source: RNAcentral
CCUUUUGUAUAAUGGGUCAGCGACUUAUAUUCUGUAGCAAGGUUAACCGAAUAGGGGAGCCGAAGGGAAACCGAGUCUUAACUGGGCGUUAAGUUGCAGGGUAUAGACCCGAAACCCGGUGAUCUAGCCAUGGGCAGGUUGAAGGUUGGGUAACACUAACUGGAGGACCGAACCGACUAAUGUUGAAAAAUUAGCGGAUGACUUGUGGCUGGGGGUGAAAGGCCAAUCAAACCGGGAGAUAGCUGGUUCUCCCCGAAAGCUAUUUAGGUAGCGCCUCGUGAAUUCAUCUCCGGGGGUAGAGCACUGUUUCGGCAAGGGGGUCAUCCCGACUUACCAACCCGAUGCAAACUGCGAAUACCGGAGAAUGUUAUCACGGGAGACACACGGCGGGUGCUAACGUCCGUCGUGAAGAGGGAAACAACCCAGACCGCCAGCUAAGGUCCCAAAGUCAUGGUUAAGUGGGAAACGAUGUGGGAAGGCCCAGACAGCCAGGAUGUUGGCUUAGAAGCAGCCAUCAUUUAAAGAAAGCGUAAUAGCUCACUGGUCGAGUCGGCCUGCGCGGAAGAUGUAACGGGGCUAAACCAUGCACCGAAGCUGCGGCAGCGACGCUGAUGCGUUGUUGGGUAGGGGAGCGUUCUGUAAGCCUGCGAAGGUGUGCUGUGAGGCAUGCUGGAGGUAUCAGAAGUGCGAAUGCUGACAUAAGUAACGAUAAAGCGGGUGAAAAGCCCGCUCGCCGGAAGACCAAGGGUUCCUGUCCAACGUUAAUCGGGGCAGGGUGAGUCGACCCCUAAGGCGAGGCCGAAAGGCGUAGUCGAUGGGAAACAGGUUAAUAUUCCUGUACUUGGUGUUACUGCGAAGGGGGGACGGAGAAGGCUAUGUUGGCCGGGCGACGGUUGUCCCGGUUUAAGCGUGUAGGCUGGUUUUCCAGGCAAAUCCGGAAAAUCAAGGCUGAGGCGUGAUGACGAGGCACUACGGUGCUGAAGCAACAAAUGCCCUGCUUCCAGGAAAAGCCUCUAAGCAUCAGGUAACAUCAAAUCGUACCCCAAACCGACACAGGUGGUCAGGUAGAGAAUACCAAGGCGCUUGAGAGAACUCGGGUGAAGGAACUAGGCAAAAUGGUGCCGUAACUUCGGGAGAAGGCACGCUGAUAUGUAGGUGAAGUCCCUCGCGG